UUUGAAUGGAAACCUCGUGAAUUGGAUUCGCCCGUGGUUACCGUGGAGAACCUCAACAUAUCUCGCAAAGCUCUCUGGCCACAUGAAGACCUCCAUUAACUGCAGAACUACAUUCACACUUUAACGUGUUGAGAGAGGAGAAGAGAAAAGAAGAGUAAUACCAGCAAUAAAAUGAGUUCAUCUGCAGAGAACUGCCCAAACCCAGACAGACCUCAUGAUGAGGUAGAGGAGAGUAUAACUGGAGGAUCAACAUCAGCAUAUCCACGCUGGAAAAAAUCUAUACCUGUGUGACCAGUGUGGCCCUCGUUUUCAUCAGUCAUCACAUUUGAAGACUCAUCAGUUUAUCUGCAUUGGAGAAAAGUCUCGCGUCUGUGACCAGCAUUUCAAGCAGUCAUCGAGUUGGAAGGUUAAUCAGUUUAGAAUGUGUAUUUGAACGGCCCCCUAUGAAACAAUUGGCAGGAUGAGGUUCGGAAAAGUUGUCAUGAAAUUGUCUCAAUGGUAUUCAUAUACAGUACAUGUAUCAUAAGUUGUCAAAUAGCAGUGAGCAAGGCACUGCCUUAAUAUAGCAUUACAGGACCAAACUAAAACUAUGAGUCUGCAUGCACACUGUCAGGCUAUACUCAGUAACAGCAGUGCUUUCAGGGAAAUGCUCAUAUCA
This is a long non-coding RNA of Chelmon rostratus (copperband butterflyfish), 658 nucleotides long. RefSeq lists it as uncharacterized. The transcript has 3 exons. The record is from RefSeq and is a predicted model, not a curated record. NCBI's taxonomy places the organism in Eukaryota, Metazoa, Chordata, Actinopteri, Chaetodontiformes, Chaetodontidae.